Molecule: ribosomal RNA, 253 nt
Filed under: uncultured bacterium
Lineage: Bacteria
Description: partial 16S ribosomal RNA
Rfam family: Bacterial small subunit ribosomal RNA
Source: RNAcentral
UACGAGGGGGGCUAGCGUUGCUCGGAAUUACUGGGCGUAAAGCGCACGUAGGCGGUCUUUUAAGUCGGGGGUGAAAUCCUGGAGCUCAACUCCAGAACUGCCUUCGAUACUGGAAGACUCGAGUCCGGGAGAGGUGAGUGGAACUGCGAGUGUAGAGGUGAAAUUCGUAGAUAUUCGCAAGAACACCAGUGGCGAAGGCGGCUCACUGGCCCGGUACUGACGCUGAGGUGCGAAAGCGUGGGGAGCAAACAGG